This is a long non-coding RNA of Myxocyprinus asiaticus (Chinese sucker), 2587 nucleotides long. RefSeq lists it as uncharacterized. The record is from RefSeq and is a predicted model, not a curated record. The transcript has 4 exons. NCBI's taxonomy places the organism in Eukaryota, Metazoa, Chordata, Actinopteri, Cypriniformes, Catostomidae.
AGCGCGUUACCGCAGAGACAUAGCGCGUGUGGAGGCUUCACGCUAUUCUCUGCGGCAUCCACGCACAACUCACCACACGCCCCACCGAGAGCGAGAACCACAUUAUAGCGACCGCGAGUCACCCCAUGUGACUCUAGCCUCCCUAGCAACUGGGCCAAUUUGGUUGCUUAGGAGACCUGGCUGGAGUCACUCAGCACACCCUGGAUUCGAACUCGUGAAUCCAGAGGUGGUAGUCAGCAUCUUUACUCGCUGAGCUACCCAGGCCCCUGUCCAGUUCCUUUUAAGAUUUCUCAUCUAGAAAGUUACAAAGGGAAAAGUACCAGGACUGUAGGCUGGAAAGGGGCUAUAUCAAGGAAAUUAUGGCUCAUGGCUGUGAUUAAACUGAAGUCUAUUGGCUAUUUAAAAGACAGGGACAAGCCAUUUGAUAUGUCCUGCUGCCCCAACUUCAUGUUUUAACAGGAAACACAUCAACUGGGGAAAAAACUGUACUUGUCAAGAAAUUUCAUUUCCCUCUCUAAGCCCUGGUGUAAAUUCUCCCUAGGUAAGGCGUGAAAGGAAGUCAUACUCAAAAUGCAGAUUUAAAGAUAACAAAGUAGAUCUGGUAAAUCUCCUGUUGAUGGUUGGCAAUUUGUCCUGUGUGAAAGUCCGGUAAGAAUAUUUGUUUCAAAUACUAUGUCGUCUAUUUGGAUUUUUCUGUGCUAUAUGCUUUUUCUAAAGCCUUUAUGCAUGUUAGUGCAGGGGUUUUCAAACCGGGGUCUGGGGACCCCCAGGGGGCUGCAAGAGUGUGGAAGGGGGUCUGCAAAAAAAUUUACAGGAAAAAAAAGUACAAAUUUUGACAUUGUUAAAAGUUAUUACAGUUUCAUUCUGAAACCAUGAGAUUAAUCAUGAUUAUUUUAUUUUAUCUUUUGAAACCAUAGCGUCUCAUUGGAAUAAAUUGAAAACACUCACUUGGCUUCACAGUCACACUCACAGUGUAAGCCAGUCGACACAUACGGUUAGAAAUAAAAACAAUUAUAUAUUCUGACAAAAACAUUUCUUAUUUGUAAAAAUCUGGGUCAUACCUCACUUUUCUCUAUUCACUAUUUUUAUUGUGAGAGUGCAAAGUGCUAAACAAAUAAAUUUGAACUGAAUUUAAAGUGUUUCUCUUCAGUUAUAACAUUUUAAAUUACUAUAAUAAAAAACGACACAGUGUCAAAUUAAUAAAAAGUACACAUUCACUGAGCACUUUAUCAUAAACACCUGUACACCUGCUUAUUCAUAAGAUUAUCUAAAAAUGAUUCCUUGCUUUAGCAAAUAUUGCUCAUUAAAAUAAACAGAUUUUACUGAAAACAUAAUGCUGUCAACUUUCCUUUAUUAUAUGCUAUAUUUGUGACACAAGAUAUUGAGAUUAUGCUGUACUCAUAAUAAUAAAGAAACUUUGCUAAUUAUUUUGAGUGAAGCAACAAUAAUCUGAAUUUCAGUAAACCCAGCCUAAUUUUUUAAGAUUCCAUGGGAAACCACGUGAUGCAGAAUGUGAUUGAAUUUUAAGCAAGUUUAUUUGGGGCUGGCUGCCGCUUUGGAUGAGGAGAGCUCGUGGUGGACAACACAAAGUUUUUGCCAAAAAGUUCACAGGUAAAUUACUUUAAACAUAGUGUGAAAUCAGUAGAGUUUUUUUUUUUUUUUUCUGUUGCUAUCAAUUUUCUGUGUAUUCAAGUUUCUAUUUGCUUAAAUAAGUUGUUAAUUUACGUUACGUUUGCAAAACUACAGUAUAUUAAAUGUUUGUUUGCAUGAGGCUAAUUAGAUGUGUACAUCUUCACAGUCGAACAAACACAAAGGAGCCCGCACAUUUUUUCACCAGGCAGAUACUCUUCAUCUUCACCUACAACUCCUCAAACUCAGCAAACAACAGUGGUGGAGAAUUCUCGCAGAUUUUUCACCGGAGAGACAGUUCAUCUUCAACUCAUCACUCACACGGCAGAAACUCAGCAGGCAACAGGAUAGGGUAAUUUAAAUUAUAGUCCUGGCAGGUCUACAACUAUAACUGAAAGAAGAGUCAUCAGAGGUUUUCAAGGCAAAAAAAAAGGAAGAGCAGCUUGACCAAGCACAGAAAGGAGCAGAUGCCAUCAGUGCUUUGGAGCAGGAAGAGCAAAAGUUGCCUUUCAACCCCCUGGAUGUAUUGAUUGUCCUUAAAAAUGAGCAGGGGACAUUUGUCAAAACUUAGGUCAGUGUACUGACUUUUUGGGCUACUUUAUGCCCUUCACAUCAGCUACUCAAAAAGCUGACACUUUAUAUUUUUGAGGUCAUAUAGUAAAUAGCGUUGCAUCUUGAUGAUGGCAAUGUCUGGCCAAGUUGAAAGGAUCUUUUGAAUGAAUAGUUUCAUUUAUAAAUACAAAUUGUUUCUGGUGUUUUUGUUACAGUAUUAGUUCAGAGAGUUUUCUCCUACCUGCGUAUAUUUCUGCAGUGUGCAGUCUGUUAAAAUGUAUUUUGAAUUGCGUUUAUUUAGAUAUACUGAAAUUCUUUAAGUCAUUGCAUAGCCCACUUGUUUUUAUGUUUUUUGUUUAUCGUCAUGAUUUUGUUACUAUUUUUGUAUUUGAGAAUGUAUUUUGGU